CCUACGGGUGGCAGCAGUGGGGAAUAUUGCACAAUGGGGGAAACCCUGAUGCAGCGACGCCGCGUGAGUGCAGAAGUAUUUCGGUACGUAAAGCUCUAUCAGCAGGGAAGAAAAUGACGGUACCUGGCCAAGAAGCCCCGGCUAACUACGUGCCAGCAGCCGCGGUAAUACGUAGGGGGCAAGCGUUAUCCGGAUUUACUGGGUGUAAAGGGGGCGCAGACGGCAAUGCAAGCCAGGAGUGAAAGCCCGGGGCCCAACCCCGGGACUGCUCUUGGAACUGCAUGGCUGGAGUACAGGAGGGGCAGGCGGAAUUCCUAGUGUAGCGGUGAAAUGCGUAGAUAUUAGGAGGAACACCGGUGGCGAAGGCGGCCUGCUGGACUGUGACUGACGUUGAGGCCCGAAGGCGUGGGGAGCAAACAGGAUUAGAUACCCUUGUAGUC
This 440-nucleotide ribosomal RNA is filed under the name uncultured bacterium. RNAcentral's name for it is "partial 16S ribosomal RNA". It matches the Rfam family "Bacterial small subunit ribosomal RNA", at positions 338 to 795 of the family's 1533-position model. The record is from RNAcentral.